Molecule: ribosomal RNA, 253 nt
Filed under: uncultured bacterium
Lineage: Bacteria
Description: partial 16S ribosomal RNA
Rfam family: Bacterial small subunit ribosomal RNA
Source: RNAcentral
UACGUAGGGGGCAAGCGUUGUCCGGAAUCAUUGGGCGUAAAGCGCGUGUAGGCGGCUCGAUAAGUCUGCUGUGAAAGUCCAAGGCUCAACCUUGGAAAGCCGGUGGAAACUGUCGGGCUAGAGUCCGGAAGAGGCGAGUGGAAUUCCUGGUGUAGCGGUGAAAUGCGCAGAUAUCAGGAGGAACACCAAUGGCGAAGGCAGCUCGCUGGGACGGUACUGACGCUGAGACGCGAAAGCGUGGGGAGCAAACAGG